UACAGAGGUCUCAAGCGUUGUUCGGAUUCAUUGGGCGUAAAGGGUGCGUAGGUGGCGCGGUAAGUCGGGUGUGAAAUUUCGGAGCUUAACUCCGAAACUGCAUUCGAUACUGCCGUGCUUGAGGACUGGAGAGGAGACUGGAAUUUACGGUGUAGCGGUGAAAUGCGUAGAUAUCUGGAGGAACACCGGUGGCGAAGGCGGCGUUCUGGACUGCAACUGACACUGAGGAACGAAAGCCAGGGGAGCAAACGGG
Molecule: ribosomal RNA, 253 nt
Filed under: uncultured bacterium
Lineage: Bacteria
Description: partial 16S ribosomal RNA
Rfam family: Bacterial small subunit ribosomal RNA
Source: RNAcentral